RNAcentral lists this transfer RNA (72 nucleotides) under Candidatus Liptonbacteria bacterium. RNAcentral describes it as "tRNA-Met". It matches the Rfam family "tRNA". From Rfam's summary of the family: Transfer RNA (tRNA) molecules are approximately 80 nucleotides in length. Their secondary structure includes four short double-helical elements and three loops (D, anti-codon, and T loops). Lineage: Bacteria; Candidatus Liptoniibacteriota. The record is from RNAcentral.
GCCAGGGUAGCUCAGUGGUAGAGCAGUGCUUUCAUAAGGCAUUGGUCGUGGGUUCAAUUCCCACCCCUGGCA